Long non-coding RNA from Peromyscus eremicus (cactus mouse), 369 nucleotides. RefSeq lists it as uncharacterized. Lineage: Eukaryota; Metazoa; Chordata; Mammalia; Rodentia; Cricetidae. The record is from RefSeq and is a predicted model, not a curated record. The transcript has 3 exons.
GAAACAGCGCGUAGCUGAAACCGGUCUAAGUGUCUGAACAACUGCCGCGCUGCUGAUUUGAAUAUCUCGGAGCAAAGCUGAUAGGUGGUUCCGUUGAGUCACGUGACGUAGCAACCCGUACUGGGAGCAGGGUGGAGCACGGGGAGGCGCUUGGACGCUCAGCCUGUGUAGCUGGUGCAGAAUUUGUCAGAGAUUGACAUGUGGAACAGUAACUCAGAAAGGAAGACCAGUCUGGAAUGUGGGCAGUACCCUCCAAACUGAGAAGAAAGAAUACUUGGGGAACAAGCUUGAAGAAGACAUACUUCCUGGCUAGAGUUCCACUUUUCAGAACACUUGGGGAGCAAGACUGAAGAAAGACCUACUUCUGGC